AAAUGAGCAACAGGAGCUCCAACGGUCAGUGAAUCAACAUGAAGUCAACUUUACUUUUGUGCAUUUUUGCCCUAGUAGCUACCUCUUUGGUUAGCGGGCAAGGUGGCGGGCAAGGCGGUUUCCCGCAACCUCCGGCCGGGAUGCCGACCCAAGGGUUCCCUGGCGGGGCUGGAGGUUCUGGGGGUUUCGGCGGUGGGGUCAGUGGAGGAUUUGGUGCGAAUGGCGGACUUGGGGCUAAUGGAGGUGGCGUCCCGAAGAAACAGUAACUGGGAUAGAUAAAAAUUUAAUGUUACUGAAUUUGGUGUAAUAAAACCUUUCACUU
RNA transcript from Tribolium castaneum (red flour beetle), 322 nucleotides. RefSeq lists it as uncharacterized. Lineage: Eukaryota; Metazoa; Arthropoda; Insecta; Coleoptera; Tenebrionidae. The transcript has 2 exons. The record is from RefSeq and is a predicted model, not a curated record.